Molecule: ribosomal RNA, 737 nt
Filed under: Uroteuthis sp. 1 JAM-2022
Lineage: Eukaryota; Metazoa; Mollusca; Cephalopoda; Myopsida; Loliginidae
Description: SSU rRNA
Source: RNAcentral
UCCGAUAACGAACGAGACUCCGGCCUGCUAACUAGUGCGCCGAUGUGUGUGCGUUUUUUGCUACGGCGGGCUCGGGCCGUGCGUGUUCGUCGCGCGUCGCUUCGGUCGUGCGUUCGCGUUCGUUUCGUUCUCGCGCGUCGGUCGGCGGCUGUGGGGGCGGCGGUUCGCCGUCGUUUCCCGCAUUCGUCCCGGCGUCGGGGGCGGCGGGCGUGGGCGUCGUCGAYGGUGGCGUGCGGUAGUGCGUGCGGUUUCCGCCGGGUCCGGGUCGGUUUUCUCACGCACUUCUUAGAGGGACGGGUGGCAGAAAGCCACACGAGGCGGAGCGAUAACAGGUCUGUGAUGCCCUUAGAUGUCCGGGGCCGCACGCGCGCUACACUGGAGGUAUCAGCGGGGACUUCGCCCCGGCCCGAGAGGGCUGGGAAACCUCUCAACCACCUCCCGUGAUAGGGAUCGGGGCCUGUAACCAACCCCGUGAACGAGGAAUUCCCGGUAGGCGCGGGUCAACAGCCCGCGUCGAUCACGUCCCUGCCCUUUGUACACACCGCCCGUCGCUACUACCGAUCGAACGGUCCGGUGAGGUCCUCGGAUCUGGCCGACGACGCCGCCGGGCUGCCUGGCGGGUCUGGGGAGGGGGUUCGCCUCCUUCGUCCGCCGCCUGUGCCGCCUCGGCGUUCGACGCCUGGAGAAGACGACCGAACCCGAUCGUUUAGAGGAAGUAAAAGUCGUAACAAGGUUUC